This is a long non-coding RNA of Papaver somniferum (opium poppy), 100 nucleotides long. RefSeq lists it as uncharacterized. The transcript has 3 exons. The record is from RefSeq and is a predicted model, not a curated record. Lineage: Eukaryota; Viridiplantae; Streptophyta; Magnoliopsida; Ranunculales; Papaveraceae.
UCUUGUUUCAAAUUGACUAUUCUUUGAACGAAAACAAGACUUGUUACUUGUUAGCUUCUUCUUGAUGGAAAUUUCCAGCGAAGGUUACAAGGAAAAAGAC